UAAAAAGACAGUGGCUUCGUAAGGCCUCAUU
RNAcentral lists this non-coding RNA (31 nucleotides) under Mus musculus (house mouse). Lineage: Eukaryota; Metazoa; Chordata; Mammalia; Rodentia; Muridae. The record is from RNAcentral.